UACAGAGGUCCCGAGCGUUGUUCGGAUUCAUUGGGCGUAAAGGGUGCGUAGGCGGUCUGCUAAGUUUGAUGUGAAAUCCCGGGGCUCAACCCUGGAAUGGCAUUGAAUACUGGCGGACUAGAGUACCGGAGAGGAAACUGGAAUUUACGGUGUAGCGGUGAAAUGCGUAGAUAUCGUAAGGAAGACCAGUGGCGAAGGCGGGUCUCUGGACAGUUCCUGACGCUGAGGCACGAAGGCCAGGGGAGCAAACGGG
This 253-nucleotide ribosomal RNA is filed under the name uncultured bacterium. RNAcentral's name for it is "partial 16S ribosomal RNA". It matches the Rfam family "Bacterial small subunit ribosomal RNA", at positions 524 to 776 of the family's 1533-position model. The record is from RNAcentral.